RNAcentral lists this ribosomal RNA (404 nucleotides) under uncultured prokaryote. RNAcentral describes it as "bacterial SSU rRNA". It matches the Rfam family "Bacterial small subunit ribosomal RNA", at positions 355 to 776 of the family's 1533-position model. The record is from RNAcentral. RNAcentral also lists the same sequence under 1 other name.
UGGGGAAUAUUGCACAAUGGGCGAAAGCCUGAUGCAGCAACGCCGCGUGAGUGAUGAAGGCCUUCGGGUUGUAAAGCUCUGUCUUUUGGGACGAUAAUGACGGUACCAAAGGAGGAAGCCACGGCUAACUACGUGCCAGCAGCCGCGGUAAUACGUAGGUGGCGAGCGUUGUCCGGAUUUACUGGGCGUAAAGGAUGCGUAGGCGGAUAUUUAAGUGAGAUGUGAAAUACCCGAGCUUAACUUGGGUGCUGCAUUUCAAACUGGAUAUCUAGAGUGCGGGAGAGGAGAAUGGAAUUCCUAGUGUAGCGGUGAAAUGCGUAGAGAUUAGGAAGAACACCAGUGGCGAAGGCGAUUCUCUGGACCGUAACUGACGCUGAGGCAUGAAAGCGUGGGUAGCAAACAGG